UUAUUAUAAAUACUCUUUUUUUUUUCAUUUGUGUGGAGGGAGAGCUUUAUAAAACAAUAAAGUUCCAUUUUGAUUAUGACCCAGUUCACCACAUCAAACACCAUCUCUUUCUCUUUUCUCUCUCCUUCACUUUCCUUCCUUAUAUACCUCCUCCUCUCGCUCUAUUAUACCCCCUUCGUUGGUUCACUCUCUUUCGUUUUCUCUCUCUCCCUCCAGCCAUGGCUAGGUAUAUGUAUAUAUACCCCUUUCCCAAAAUCUAAAAUAAAAAAUCCAUGCAUAUGUCAGCUAUAUAUUAUGCUCUCUUAGACAUAUCACACAAACAUGGGGAAACACACAACUAAACGGGGUGUGAUUGGGGUUAUAUCUCCUUGCUCGAUUUUCACGCAGAGAAAGAUGAGAAUUAUACAUCUACCUAGUAUAUCUAUAUGUGCUUGAAUAUGUAUACACAUAUGAUUAUGCACAUGUGAUUUAUAUGUAUGUAUAUAAUAUCGUCAUAUAUGGUUUUAUUAUUGCUCCUUUUUGUUUUGUUUUGGCAUCGUGAACAACAAUAUACAAGAGUAUGUGCCUGGCUCCCUGUAUGCCAUUUGCAGAGUCCACCGGAACAUCGAUGGCUUCCGUGGAUGGCGUAUGAGGAGCCAUGCAUAUUCCAUGUAUCAUAUACAUGGUAAUAUAUGUAUAUAUAUAUAUAUAUGAACACAUCCGCCUUUUAAUUACAUAAGGGGAAGCAUUAGCAAAAAAUUAAACAUGUAUUACAUAUAGAUGGAUGCAAGGAAGAGGGAAUGAAGGGUAUUAUGGUCAUCUUCCUGCAGUUGCAAUCAGCGACGGGUAGCAUUUUAACUGUAAAACUUGCAGGUUUUUCUUCUUAUCUCCUCCGAUCAGUCGACAACGAACAAAAGAGAAUAUAGUUUACGGUCAAAGCAGGUCAAAAAGGACAAUUGGGUCAGGCACAAGAGAUGAGAUGAGUGUGUGGACCACUCUUUUAAAGAUCUCCCAUCCUUCUCCUCUAGGCCUCCCUGGAUUAUGAACAUAUUAUAUCAAAUAUUAUUUCUUAUACGAAUACAAAUCUCUUCUACUUCUUCUUAAAUAAUGUUUAACCUAGAUGUGAGUUUUUGUUCUUGUUUUGAUUAUUGUUAUCUUUUUCAGUAGUGUCUGUCCGCUUAUAAGUUGGUUUUUAGUUGGGAGAACAUUCUUCUGGAUUGAUCUGCAGGUCUGAACACUUGAGUGUGUUCUUCCUUUGAAUAAAAGAGCUAGACAUAAUAAAUAAUAAUAAUAAUAAGUUUCCACCUGCAGUGCAGUGCAGGCUAUAUAUAGUAGAGUAUAUAUAACAAUAUAUAACCAUGAGGUGAGCCAUAUGGGGGCCACUACCCUCCCUUCCACAUUGUGUUACGCUUCCCUUUAACAGAGAUUGUACUCUUAAAAGUCUCAAAAAGUAGAUUCUAUAUCUAUGAUUUCUGUUCAACUUUCAUCAUGCUUUUCUUCUUUUUCAUUAAUAUUAUAACUGUACAUUUUUCUCUUUUUUUUGCUAGUUAAUUUUUAUUUUGCAUAGUAGAAAUGUCAUGUCGGUAUAUAUAUCAAAUAUGUACGUAAAACGUUAAUCUCUGCCUCUUUAAUUUUGAAUUUGAAUCUAUCUGUAUGUAGCUAGAUUAGCUAAUUGAAUUUUCUAAUAUUUAUUUGGAAUCGGUCUGUAGCUUAGCUAAUUCUGCUUCUUUUUUGGGCAGUGAAUGAUUUUUCUCAUAAAACUGAGAUUUUGAUGUUCUACUUUUAAGUUGUUGUCGAUUUUUUGAAGGCGCGGUUUUCUUUUUUCCUUGGAAACUUUGACCUUACUGUUUAAUUGUUUGUCAUCCUUUGAGUCAAAUAUUUGAUUGGAUUCAUUGUGUUGUCAUAUUUAGUUAUAGAUUAGACGAAUAAACUGGGUCAUCCUGAUAAAAUCGCCCCAUAUUUUGUAUUAUUUAUGCUCAUAAGAUGGGUGGUAUACUGUUCUU
Humulus lupulus (European hop) is the source of this 1982-nucleotide long non-coding RNA. RefSeq lists it as uncharacterized. The record is from RefSeq and is a predicted model, not a curated record. The transcript is spliced from 2 exons. Lineage: Eukaryota; Viridiplantae; Streptophyta; Magnoliopsida; Rosales; Cannabaceae.